RNAcentral lists this unclassified non-coding RNA (253 nucleotides) under Hevea brasiliensis (rubber tree). The record is from RNAcentral. Lineage: Eukaryota; Viridiplantae; Streptophyta; Magnoliopsida; Malpighiales; Euphorbiaceae.
UGGAUUUUUUUUGUGAUGAAUUUUCUAGUGAUGAAUUUUCUUCCCUGAAAUGGCAUUUAGUUUUGAAUUUGAGCUACUAUUUGUUUGUUUUUUGAAGUUCAACUGUAAUUAUGAGGUGGGUGUUGAAUUUUAUAUAUCAUCUGACUGGCACUGCUUCUUGGAUUAGACAGACUUGCUUUACAGGCUUUGGUUUUAAUUUUGGUGAUGAAUUAUGGUCUUAUGAUUGAUAAGUGAAAAAUGAAAGAAGCAACAA